Molecule: ribosomal RNA, 497 nt
Filed under: uncultured bacterium
Lineage: Bacteria
Description: partial 16S ribosomal RNA
Rfam family: Bacterial small subunit ribosomal RNA
Source: RNAcentral
GAUGAACGCUGGCGGCGUGCCUAAUACAUGCAAGUCGAGCGAACAGAUAAGGAGCUUGCUCCUUUGACGUUAGCGGCGGACGGGUGAGUAACGCGUGGGUAACCUACCUAUAAGACUGGGAUAACUUCGGGAAACCGGAGCUAAUACCGGAUAACAUUUGGAACCGCAUGGUUCUAAAGUGAAAGAUGGUUUUGCUAUCACUUAUAGAUGGACCCGCGCCGUAUUAGCUAGUUGGUAAGGUAACGGCUUACCAAGGCGACGAUACGUAGCCGACCUGAGAGGGUGAUCGGCCACACUGGAACUGAGACACGGUCCAGACUCCUACGGGAGGCAGCAGUAGGGAAUCUUCCGCAAUGGGCGAAAGCCUGACGGAGCAACGCCGCGUGAGUGAUGAAGGGUUUCGGCUCGUAAAACUCUGUUAUUAGGGAAGAACAAACGUGUAAGUAACUGUGCACGUCUUGACGGUACCUAAUCAGAAAGCCACGGCUAACUACGUG